AUUGAACUUUGGAGGCAUGCCUUACACAUGCAAGUCGAACGGCAGCACGGAGCUUGCUCUGGUGGCGAGUGGCGAACGGGUGAGUAAUAUAUCGGAACGUACCCUGGAGUGGGGGAUAACGUAGCGAAAGUUACGCUAAUACCGCAUACGAUCUAAGGAUGAAAGUGGGGGAUCGCAAGACCUCAUGCUCGUGGAGCGGCCGAUAUCUGAUUAGCUAGUUGGUAGGGUAAAAGCCUACCAAGGCAUCGAUCAGUAGCUGGUCUGAGAGGACGACCAGCCACACUGGAACUGAGACACGGUCCAGACUCCUACGGGAGGCAGCAGUGGGGAAUUUUGGACAAUGGGCGAAAGCCUGAUCCAGCAAUGCCGCGUGAGUGAAGAAGGCCUUCGGGUUGUAAAGCUCUUUUGUCAGGGAAGAAACGGUGAGAGCUAAUAUCUCUUGCUAAUGACGGUACCUGAAGAAUAAGCACCGGCUAACUACGUGCCAGCAGCCGCGGUAAUACGUAGGGUGCAAGCGUUAAUCGGAAUUACUGGGCGUAAAGCGUGCGCAGGCGGUUUUGUAAGUCUGAUGUGAAAUCCCCGGGCUCAACCUGGGAAUUGCAUUGGAGACUGCAAGGCUAGAAUCUGGCAGAGGGGGGUAGAAUUCCACGUGUAAGCAGUGAAAUGCGUAGAUAUGUGGAGGAACACCGAUGGCGAAGGCAGCCCCCUGGGUCAAGAUUGACGCUCAUGCACGAAAGCGUGGGGAGCAAACAGGAUUAGAUACCCUGGUAGUCCACGCCCUAAACGAUGUCUACUAGUUGUCGGGUCUUAAUUGACUUGGUAACGCAGCUAGCGCGUGAAGUAGACCGCCUGGGGAGUACGGUCGCAAGAUUAAAACUCAAAGGAAUUGACGGGGACCCGCACAAGCGGUGGAUGAUGUGGAUUAAUUCGAUGCAACGCGAAAAACCUUACCUACCCUUGACAUGGCUGGAAUCCUCGAGAGAUUGAGGAGUGCUCGAAAGAGAACCAGUACACAGGUGCUGCAUGGCUGUCGUCAGCUCGUGUCGUGAGAUGUUGGGUUAAGUCCCGCAACGAGCGCAACCCUUGUCAUUAGUUGCUACGAAAGGGCACUCUAAUGAGACUGCCGGUGACAAACCGGAGGAAGGUGGGGAUGACGUCAAGUCCUCAUGGCCCUUAUGGGUAGGGCUUCACACGUCAUACAAUGGUACAUACAGAGCGCCGCCAACCCGCGAGGGGGAGCUAAUCGCAGAAAGUGUAUCGUAGUCCGGAUUGUAGUCUGCAACUCGACUGCAUGAAGUUGGAAUCGCUAGUAAUCGCGGAUCAGCAUGUCGCGGUGAAUACGUUCCCGGGUCU
This 1353-nucleotide ribosomal RNA is filed under the name uncultured bacterium. Its description in RNAcentral is "bacterial SSU rRNA". It matches the Rfam family "Bacterial small subunit ribosomal RNA", at positions 28 to 1381 of the family's 1533-position model. The record is from RNAcentral.